Molecule: ribosomal RNA, 206 nt
Filed under: uncultured bacterium
Lineage: Bacteria
Description: partial 16S ribosomal RNA
Rfam family: Bacterial small subunit ribosomal RNA
Source: RNAcentral
AGCGAACGCUGGCGGCAGGCCUAAUACAUGCAAGUCGAGCGGUCCCUUCGGGGGCAGCGGCGGACGGGUGAGUAACGCGUGGGAAUGUGCCCUUUGGUACGGAACAACUGAGGGAAACUUCAGCUAAUACCGUAUGUGCCCUUCGGGGAAAGGAUUAUUGCCAUUGGAGCAGCCCGCGUUGGAUUAGGUAGUUGGUGGGGUAAAGG